CCCUCCGCCCUCCGUCGAAUCGUCAACCGCGGCCCUCGCACAGUCAGACCCCCAUCCCGCGCCGCCCUUCGCACUCUGCCCUCCACCAAGUCGUCGUCGCACAGGCCUUCCCGCCGCCGAUUCGCUCCGCCGCCAGGACCCAGCGCAAACUGCAGUCACGUCCUUCCCCCUCCCCGUAUUCACGCGCUCCCUCCCUAAUCCCUAACCGCGCUGUCUUCCUCCGUCAAUCCCCGUCGAAUCCACCGCCUCAAGCGUCGUGGCUCGUCGCCGUUGCAGUCGUCAUCGAGAACGCUGCCGAUCCCCAGUCGAAGCCGCCCUCACGUAGUCCUCAACCAGUAGCCGCCGCCGCCGCCUAGCCCUGUGCCCUCGCCAGAUCGACGCCGUGACGCUCUGCCUCCUUGCCCUGGUCGCCUCAUAGCAUCUCGCGCCAAAUCGCGUGGGUCACACCUCUGUCCACGGCCACCGCGGACCGCGCCCCUCCAACCGGACCAGCAGCAUCGCCACUGCCGACGGGAGCAGCAUCCCCGUCCAAAUCGGCGGCAGACAACCAGGUGGGCUUCCAGCCUUCCACACGAACCAUGGCGAGGUGCUGCUCUGUUGCUGGGACAUGGUUGAAAGGUGAAAUUAAACAAACAUUGUCUAUUCAUCACAUCAUAUGUGUCUAGCUAACUGCUAAGGUACAUAUAGUCGCUACUCUUGCUGAUAUGCGCAUGUUCACUGGCACGCCAGUCUAUUCGGUUUGCCGCCGGCUGCGAUGAACAAGAGCUGGAUUAAUCUUGCAAAAAAGUUCUUUUUUUCAACUGUAUAUCUGUUCAGAUUUUUCCGAAUUGCAUUAAUAUACUCCCUAUGAAUCUUUAUAUUAAACGCUGCAAUCCUUGUUAUAAAUCUACAAUUUUUCCUAAUUGCAGGAUGUGCUACCAUGAUCAUUCGUAUGGCAUGUCACUGACUCACUGUCACUUAACCUGUUGAUAACUGUACAUGCUAUUUUGGUAGCUCAAGUUAUGGUGGAAUAUUUAUAAUCAUUUUAUAAACUCUGAUGGUAAAUUGGUACGACUUCACUCCAUAAGUUUUGUUUCUCUAUGCAUUAUGAAAAUGACACCUUUGUGAUUUGUUAAUGGAAUGCGGGAUAGUAUAUCUGUUUAGUUUAAGAUAUUUAGUGUUUUCGUGGAUGUAUAUUGACCACAUAUUCGGUUAAUAUUUCUUAAUUUGGGUGCACGGUGAAUCAGACCAUAUAGGCUCAGUUGGAUCUGUUGAGAUAAGGUUGCGUUCUUUUGGUGAGUUUGAAGAAAGAUUUUUCGCGCACGUAAAGCAAGAAAGCUCAUUAGCACAUAAUUAAUUAAGAAUUAACUAUUAUAAACUUUAAAAUAGAUUUAUUUGAUUUUUCAAAUAUCUUCUAUAUAAUUUUUUUAAAAAAAACUCGCCAUUUAGUAGUUUGAAUUGUGUGCUAACGGAAAACAUUGAAGUUAAAGUUUGGAGUCGAAGACAAACAUAUCAAUAAGAUGUGCUUGUGCUGGCUGGUUAAUCGAACAGCUCCAUCAACGCUGUGGGGCUUGGAAGAGGUUAAAGGUAUGGCUGGGUAUACGAUACAAUGGUUUCAUUUCCUGUUUUAGGUAAAUGUGGAAACUCUUCAAAUGAAUGUGAAUAUCCUCGACAUAUAACAGUGCUUCUUGUCCUGCCACCUAAUAAUGUAAUUCUUGUAGACUACUUGCAUAGAUCUGCUACUAACACACACAGCCAGGUUGCAACUAUCAUUGAUUCAUAGAAGAAUGGUAUAGCAUAUCCAAUGUAACACUGGAAUCCAUCUUGUACGUGCUGUUAAGAAAGACAUUAAGUGCUUCAUAGGUGAUACAGCUAUACAGUUGGAGAUGUAAGUUUUGCAUGAUCUUUUUUAUUUCUGUUCAUCUGUUUACUGGCAGUUGUGAUCAUGUUCCUUUUUAUCAUGACCUUGUUUAUUAUUUUUCAUGGAGGAACAAAUGGAUUUUGUCAUCAUCAAGGUAGAGAAGAGGGACAUGAUGACAUUGCAGCGCAAGAAAGCAUAGGCACCACCGCACCAAGCAGACACAAUAAUCAGACUUUAAUUCAUAUUAAUGAAUGAAUACUAAUUCAUAUUUUUGUAUUUGUAUGCCUUGAUGACCUGCUCUACAGAGAUGGGAUUGCAUGGUCUAUUCAAUUUAUUUAUAAUUAAAUAUGCUUAUUUUUCUUCA
Molecule: non-coding RNA, 2204 nt
Organism: Oryza sativa Japonica Group (Japanese rice)
Lineage: Eukaryota; Viridiplantae; Streptophyta; Magnoliopsida; Poales; Poaceae
Source: RefSeq, a predicted model, not a curated record